UACGUAGGGUGCAAGCGUUGUCCGGAAUUAUUGGGCGUAAAGAGCUCGUAGGUGGCCUGUCGCGUCGGCUGUGAAAACUCGGGGCUCAACUCCGAGCUUGCAGUCGAUACGGGCAGGCUAGAGUUCGGCAGGGGAGACUGGAAUUCCUGGUGUAGCGGUGAAAUGCGCAGAUAUCAGGAGGAACACCCGUGGCGAAGGCGGCUCUCUGGAACGCAACUGACGCUGAGACGCGAAAGCGUGGGAGCAAACAGG
Molecule: ribosomal RNA, 252 nt
Filed under: uncultured bacterium
Lineage: Bacteria
Description: partial 16S ribosomal RNA
Rfam family: Bacterial small subunit ribosomal RNA
Source: RNAcentral